UACAGAGGGUGCGAGCGUUGUUCGGAAUUACUGGGCGUAAAGCGCGCGCAGGCGGCUUUUUAAGUCCGACGGUGAAAUGCCGGGGCUCAACCCCGUGCCCGCCGCGGAUACUGGGAAGCUGGAGACGAGUAGAGGCAAGCGGAAUCCCGGGUGUAGCGGUGGAAUGCGCAGAUAUCAGGAGGAACACCGAUGGCGAAGGCAGGUCACUGGGCCGCAACUGACGCUGAGGAGCGAAAGCAUGGGGAGCGAACAGG
This 254-nucleotide ribosomal RNA is filed under the name uncultured bacterium. Its description in RNAcentral is "partial 16S ribosomal RNA". It matches the Rfam family "Bacterial small subunit ribosomal RNA", at positions 524 to 776 of the family's 1533-position model. The record is from RNAcentral.